AGGUACAAAUACAAUACCAAACAUGCCCUGGAGUAGAAUCUCAUAGUUCAGCAAGUGAAACCGAGCGAGCGCUCGGUCGGAGCGUACUAUUCCAGCCGAAAGCUUACAACCGCUGGGCACCAUAAGCAAGGUGCAUACAAAAGGGCCCCAAGCCACAAGAGCCUGAAAAUCCUGGAGCUCCUUUUUACUGCUGAAUAAUCAAAAUCCAAUAUACAAAGAUUCUAUUUAGUUGCAUCUUUAUUCAUUCCUAGAUUCACCAAAACCCCACUGCAAAACCCUUCGUUUAUUUGUAUUUUUAUUUUUUUUAUUUCCUAAGUUCUCUCCGGUUGGAAAUGGAUUUCCAAGUGGUGGUUUUAGCUGGUGGCAAUUCGAAGAGUCUAACUCCCCUUGUUUCCAAGGACGUGCCUAAACCGCUGCUUCCGGUAGCCAACCACCCUGUUCUUUACUACGUUCUGCACCAAUUGGAAGAGAGCAACCUCAAAGAUCUCAUUGUUGUGGUUGAAGGAGAAGAUGCUGGGCUUCUUGUUGGUGCUUGGAUUUCUGGGACAUUCGUUGAUCGUCUACAUGUUGAGAUUGCUGCAGUCCCUGAGGAUAUUGGAACGGCUGGGGCACUUAGGGCAAUCUCACACUACCUCACUGCAAAAGACAUUUUGGUUGUGAGUGGUGAUCUUGUUUCUGAUGUUUCUCCUGGUGCAGUUGCUGCCACCCACAGGCGACAUGAUGCUGUAGUGACUGCAACACUUUGCUGUGUUCCCAUUAGUGGGUCUUCAGAAUCAGGGUCCUCUGGUGGGAAAGACAAAACCAAAAAACCAGGACGAUACAACAUCAUUGGACUGGACCCUCGCAAACAGUUUUUAUUACACAUAGCAACAGGAGCAGAAAUUGAGAAAGAUACACGACUUCAGAAGCACCUUCUCCAUGCAGUAGGCCAGAUGGAAAUUCGAUCUGAUCUGAUGGAUGCACACAUGUAUGCAUUCAAGAGGUCUGUCCUGCAAGAAGUUUUAGACCGAAAGGAUACUUUUCAAAGCUUGAAACAGGAUGUAGUUCCUUAUCUUGUCCGGAGCCAGUUGAAAUCUGAGGCUGUAUUAAGUGGAAUUCGACAAGCAGAGGAAGAUGGUAACGAGAAGGUUAGUUUCCCAAACAAUCAAGUAAUGGUCUCUCAAAUCCUUGCUAAUGCAUCUACCCCAAGCUUUCAUGAACUCUAUUCUAUGGAUCCUGAUGGUUCUGCCCAAACUCGGAAAACCCAUAAAUGUUGUGCUUAUAUUGCAAGCAGCAGCAGUUAUUGUGUUCGCUUAAAUUCCAUUCAAGCAUUCAUGGAUAUCAAUCGAGAUGUCACUGGUGAGGCAGAUCAUCUGCUAAGUGAUAAUGUUAUAGGCCCUUCACCUAAGCUUGGAACCAAAACUACUGUCGGACCACACUGUAUGCUGGGGGAAGGUUCAGAAAUGGGUGAUAAAUGCCAAGUAAAACGAUCUGUAAUUGGCCGUCACUGCCGGAUAGGCUCCCAUGUAAAGGUUGUCAAUUCAGUUGUAAUGAAUCAUGUUACCAUUGGCGAUGGCUGUAUAAUUCAAGGUUCCGUGAUUUGCAGCAAUGUACAACUUCAAGAGCGUGUUGUAUUGAAGGAUUGCCAAGUUGGGGCAGGCUUUGUAGUUACCGCUGGAAGUGAGUAUAAAGGAGAAUCUUUGGCUAGAAAAGAGAAAUGAGUGAAGGCAAUUGUAUCCCAGAAAAAAAACGCGAGGCUUGGCCCAUCUCAUUUUAAUGUUGUUUUUCGGACAUGCUUCUAUGGAACCGCUGGCACUGGUAAAAUGUGAUCCUUGGCAAGUGAAGCAAGGACAUUGCAACAGAGGGGGAUCAAUCAUAUCCUGGCAAAGUCCAUCGAUUUCUUUCCGUCAUGUUUCUUGCUGAAAAAAUAUUUGAAGUAAUCUGAGAAGACAACUUCCUUAUACAAUGGUUGCUCCCCACUUUCUAGCACUUCCGGCAGAGGACCGAAAACAGCAUCUGGUCCUGGAUUCACAAAAAUAGGCACUGAAACUCUGUCCUUGCUUCUAUUGGCAACCACCCGGUGUUCAAUGCUUUUGUAUCUGUCGUUGCUCAUUAUUUGUAGAAUGUCUCCAAUGUUGAUUACGAGAGCCCCAUUGAUUGGCAGAACAUGAAUCCAGCUAUCAUUUUCAGUUGCUCGAACAUAAAGGCCGCCAUUAUCGUCUUGGAGGAGAACAGUGAGUGUUGAUAUAUCAGAGUGAGGCUGUACUCCUGCUGUGAAGUCUGGGUUCGGGCAAUGCGGAUAGUACAUUAAGUUAACUAUCGGCGAACCCAUUAAUGUAUAUUCUCUAGCUUUAUCUAUUUGUUUCACCUUCAGGCCCUCCAGGAGGACCUCCAGCAGCUUCCGUAUCACAGACUUUGCACUCUCCAUGUAUUCCACCACUUCAUCCCUGUAAACAGUCAUGAGGCAAUUGUAAAUAUGGAUGCUAUUUUGCAGUUCGAGGUUUUUUUUCAA
Gossypium raimondii (Peruvian cotton) is the source of this 2491-nucleotide RNA transcript. RefSeq lists it as uncharacterized. The record is from RefSeq and is a predicted model, not a curated record. The transcript has 14 exons. NCBI's taxonomy places the organism in Eukaryota, Viridiplantae, Streptophyta, Magnoliopsida, Malvales, Malvaceae.